Molecule: ribosomal RNA, 251 nt
Filed under: uncultured prokaryote
Description: partial 16S rRNA
Rfam family: Bacterial small subunit ribosomal RNA
Source: RNAcentral
ACGGAGGGGACGAGCGUUGUCCGGAUUUACUGGGCGUAAAGGGCGCGUAGGCGGGCUGUCAAGUCGGAUGUGAAAGCCAGUGGCUUAACCGCAGAACUGCAGUUGAUACUGCCGGCCUGGAGUAUAGGAGAGGAAACUGGAAUUCCAGGUGUAGCGGUGAAAUGCGUAGAUAUCGGGAAGAACACCAGUAGCGAAGGCGGCUUCCUGGACUAUUACUGACGCUGAAGUGCGAAAGCGUGGGGAGCAAACAG